RNAcentral lists this ribosomal RNA (513 nucleotides) under uncultured Entrophosporaceae. RNAcentral describes it as "SSU rRNA". It matches the Rfam family "Eukaryotic small subunit ribosomal RNA", at positions 569 to 1078 of the family's 1831-position model. Lineage: Eukaryota; Fungi; Glomeromycota; Glomeromycetes; Entrophosporales; Entrophosporaceae. The record is from RNAcentral.
AGCAGCCGCGGUAAUUCCAGCUCCAAUAGCGUAUAUUAAAGUUGUUGCAGUUAAAAAGCUCGUAGUUGAAUUUCGGGAUUGACGUGACGGUCAUGCCUUAAGGGGUAUGAACUGUUACAGUUGAUUUCUCACCUUCUGGAGAAACUUGAUGUCCUUUAUUGGGUGUCUUGCGGAUCCAGGACCUUUACCUUGAAAAAAUUAGAGUGUUUAAAGCAGGCAUUUUUGCUCGAAUACAUUAGCAUGGAAUAAUAGAAUAGGACGGCAUGGUUCUAUUUUGUUGGUUUCUAGGAUCACCGUAAUGAUUAAUAGGGAUAGUUGGGGGCAUUAGUAUUCAAUUGUCAGAGGUGAAAUUCUUGGAUUUAUUGAAGACUAACUACUGCGAAAGCAUUUGCCAAGGAUGUUUUCAUUAAUCAAGAACGAAGUUAGGGGAUCGAAGACGAUCAGAUACCGUCGUAGUCUUAACAUAAACUAUGCCGACUAGGAAUCAGACGAUGUUAAUUUUUAAUGUACUCG